GGCAAAGCAGGGUUUGGGGUGAACGCUGACAAAUUGUGCCCCUCCCAUGUAAUAACCUUGUGACUCUCUGAGGGGUCCUAACUCCCAGUUUAAGAGCCCCUGCACUAGAAGGAAGGGUUUGUGUGUUUAAUAAGGUAACAUUUAACUACAGUGAAACUUCAGAGUUAGACAGUGUAGGAAUGGAGGUUGUCUAACUCUGAUUCAGCAGCUUACACUCCAGGCCAAGUUUCAGCAGCAGCUAAGCUCCCUACUCAACUUGGUAUAAGUUUGCAAGCUUGUCUUCUUGCCAGCAGAUGGGGGGUGUGUGGGGGAGGAGAGGAGGAUCAAGGGCUUAAAAGGUGUGUCCCCUUCCAGGCAGGGGCAGUGGUGAAAGCAAUGCAGACCCCCACUGUUCUACUGACUCAAGCAUGUGGGGAUGGGGACAGGCAGCCCAGAUGUACCUAUCCUGAAGAUGCAAUAUAGGCAUAGUAGAGUAUUUAUUUAUUUAUUUAGUUAUUUAUUUUUUACUCUGCUGCUGCCUGAUUGGUUACUUCUGGUUUCACAUGGCAUCCAGUAGCCUGGUGAGUCUAUAAAUCUGGUGUUUGUAUCUUUGAGGUUCUACCAUAUACCACAAGAAAAGCCCUAUAGUCUCUCUCAUGAAUUCUCAGCAAACAAAGGAACUCUUUAGGCCUAUAAAGACUCAUUCAAACAAUGUGGGGGUAUUUUUUAACAAAGGAAUGGGGGAUUUUAAAUCUGAAACAAUACAUAUACAAACUAGCCCUACUGUAGCUGUACACUAAAUACUACUGAAUUUAAAAUUGAAAUUAAAUCAGCUCAUACAGUUGAUCACUUCUAAAACAGUUCCCCAUCUGCUAUGUACAUAAGUUAGAAUGAAAUAAUUGCCAUUGGAACUCGAGACUGGAGUGAAAAUAGAUUCAAACUAACUGUUUAACAUUACUUCAUAACUAAGAUAAGCAAUGUGCUAAGAAAAUAAUAGGUGCAGCCUAUAAUGAGAAGAGUUUUUUCAAAUAGAUUCCAAAUGAGAAAUCAGUCUCCCAAUAUCAAAACAAGACUGGUUUUCCCACUUAUACUGACUUUCUUCAAAAGUUUAAGAUUAAAUUGUCUUCAGAAUCUCUACCUGUUGGUUUCAGAUAUGCCCUUUUACAUCUACUAUGAUACAGCAGCCUGGUGAAAACAGAGCUUUAUUAUACAAGUCUAUAAGCAACAAUGGAGCAAGGAUGUCCUUAAGGGGAAAAAAAUAAAUCUUUUACCACAUCUUAAAAUGGUCUCUUUUCAACUCAUUUGUAGUAUAUGUGCAGUUGAAGUGUUCACGCCAUGCAAUGUCAUAAUUUUAUUUGAAAGAAACAGCAGGACCUCUAUCUUCCAUUGUUCCUGGGACAUUUUAGAAAUAAACAGUUCUUAAAAAAUGAGGAUUGGAUCAAUAUACAGCUAAAACAAUUUAACCAAUUUAAAUGGACAAUGCAAAAUGUUUCUGAAACAACCAGGUCUUCAGUCAUUUGAGGUCUUCCACAUAUUUAAUAAGCUAAUGCCAAGAGAAAUCAGUUUAUAUAAUGUGCAAAAUAAUGGACAUGUACUGUAAACUGAACCAAAGUAUCUUAGCAUUAUCUGCUUUCUAUAUUAUGCUAUUCAUUUUAAAAUUAUUCAAUAUUUUGGAAUGACAGUAUAAAGAUACCCUGUUUUCAAAAGUUACUCUAUUUUGUAGUGCAGAAUGGUCUAAACUCUGCCUUGCACCCUAGACAACCUUAAAAAAUAUUUCAAGUUCCCUAUUCAGGAGGGUGCUUCAACACUCAAAUUCUAUUUACUUCAGUAGAACUUAGGUAUAUGAUUAAGUGCUGUCUUGAGAAGAAAUAGCUUAAGUUAGUGAAGAAUGUCUGUAAAUCUUUUGAUAGAUACUCUUUAUUCCUUCACAAUGUGCAGGUAUAGGUUUUUUGCAUCAACCAUGCAGUACAUUGUUCAGCAGUUUUGAUCUUA
This is a non-coding RNA of Chelonoidis abingdonii (Abingdon island giant tortoise), 1971 nucleotides long. The record is from RefSeq and is a predicted model, not a curated record. NCBI's taxonomy places the organism in Eukaryota, Metazoa, Chordata, Testudines, Testudinidae.